This 288-nucleotide ribosomal RNA is filed under the name uncultured bacterium. RNAcentral describes it as "partial 16S ribosomal RNA". It matches the Rfam family "Bacterial small subunit ribosomal RNA", at positions 337 to 617 of the family's 1533-position model. The record is from RNAcentral.
CCCUACGGGAGGCAGCGGUAGGGAAUCUUCCACAAUGGACGAAAGUCUGAUGGAGCAACGCCGCGUGAGUGAAGAAGGGUUUCGGCUCGUAAAGCUCUGUUGGUAGUGAAGAAAGAUAGAGGUAGUAACUGGCCUUUAUUUGACGGUAAUUACUUAGAAAGUCACGGCUAACUACGUGCCAGCAGCCGCGGUAAUACGUAGGUGGCAAGCGUUGUCCGGAUUUAUUUGGCGUAAAGCGAGUGCAGGCGGUUCAAUAAGUCUAAUUGGGAAACCUUUGGCUCCACCGGA